GCGGCCGUGGCGGAAUUGGCAGACGCGCCAGGUUUAGGUCCUGGUGAGCUUACGCUCGUGGGGGUUCAAGUCCCUCCGGCCGCA
This 84-nucleotide transfer RNA is filed under the name Planctomycetota bacterium. RNAcentral's name for it is "tRNA-Leu". It matches the Rfam family "tRNA". From Rfam's summary of the family: Transfer RNA (tRNA) molecules are approximately 80 nucleotides in length. Their secondary structure includes four short double-helical elements and three loops (D, anti-codon, and T loops). Lineage: Bacteria; Pseudomonadati; Planctomycetota. RNAcentral also lists the same sequence under 1 other name. The record is from RNAcentral.